Molecule: ribosomal RNA, 537 nt
Filed under: Pichia fermentans
Lineage: Eukaryota; Fungi; Ascomycota; Pichiomycetes; Pichiales; Pichiaceae
Description: partial 26S ribosomal RNA
Rfam family: Eukaryotic large subunit ribosomal RNA
Source: RNAcentral
CAAAAGCUCAGAUUUGAGAAUCGCUUCGGCGAGUUGUGAAUUGCAGGUUGGCGCCUCUGCGGCGGCGGCGGUCCAAGUCCCUUGGAACAGGGCGCCAUUGAGGGUGAGAGCCCCGUGGGACCGUUUGCCUAUGCUCUGAGGCCCUUCUGACGAGUCGAGUUGUUUGGGAAUGCAGCUCUAAGCGGGUGGUAAAUUCCAUCUAAGGCUAAAUACUGGCGAGAGACCGAUAGCGAACAAGUACUGUGAAGGAAAGAUGAAAAGCACUUUGAAAAGAGAGUGAAACAGCACGUGAAAUUGUUGAAAGGGAAGGGUAUUGCGCCCGACAUGGAGCGUGCGCACCGCUGCCCCUCGUGGGCGGCGCUCUGGGCGUGCUCUGGGCCAGCAUCGGUUUUUGCCGCGGGAGAAGGGCGGCGGGCAUGUAGCUCUUCGGAGUGUUAUAGCCUGCCGCCGGCGCCGCGAGCGGGGACCGAGGACUGCGACUUUUGUCUCGGAUGCUGGCACAACGGCGCAACACCGCCCGUCUUGAACCACGGACCA